RNAcentral lists this ribosomal RNA (565 nucleotides) under uncultured bacterium. RNAcentral's name for it is "bacterial SSU rRNA". It matches the Rfam family "Bacterial small subunit ribosomal RNA", at positions 338 to 916 of the family's 1533-position model. The record is from RNAcentral.
CCUACGGGAGGCAGCAGUGGGGAAUCUUGUGCAAUGGACGAAAGUCUGACACAGCCACGCCGCGUGCGGGAAGAAGGCCUUCGGGUUGUAAACCGCUUUCAGCAGGAACGAAAAUGACGGUACCUGCAGAAGAAGAUGCGGCCAACUACGUGCCAGCAGCCGCGGUGAUACGUAGGCAUCAAGCGUUGUCCGGAUUUAUUGGGCGUAAAGAGCUCGUAGGCGGUUCAGCAAGUCGGGUGUGAAAACUCUGGGCUUAACCCAGAGCCUGCACUCGAAACUGCUGUGACUAGAGUUCGGUAGGGGAGCAGGGAAUUCCUAGUGUAGCGGUGAAAUGCGCAGAUAUUAGGAGGAACACCAAUGGCGAAGGCACUGCUCUGGGCCGAUACUGACGCUGAGGAGCGAGAGCGUGGGUAGCAAACAGGAUUAGAUACCCUGGUAGUCCACGCCGUAAACGAUGGGCACUAGGUGUGGGUCUCUAACCAACGAGAUCUGCGCCGUCGCUAACGCAUUAAGUGCCCCGCCUGGGGAGUACGGUCGCAAGACUAAAACUCAAAGGAAUUGACGG